AUUGAACGCUGGCGGCAUGCCUUACACAUGCAAGUCGAACGGUAACAGGUUAAGCUGACGAGUGGCGAACGGGUGAGUAAUAUAUCGGAACGUGCCCAGUCGUGGGGGAUAACGUAGCGAAAGCUACGCUAAUACCGCAUACGAUCUACGGAUGAAAGCGGGGGAUCGCAAGACCUCGCGCGAUUGGAGCGGCCGAUAACAGAUUAGGUUGUUGGUGAGGUAAAAGCUCACCAAGCCUGCGAUCUGUAGCUGGUCUGAGAAGACGACCAGCCACAGUGGAACUGAGACACGGUCCAGACUCCUACGGGAGGCAGCAUUGGGGAAUUUUGGACAAUGGACGCAAGUCUGAUCCAGCAAUGCCGCGUGCAGGACGAAGGCCUUCGGGUUGUAAACUGCUCUUGUACGGAACGAAACGGUGAGCUCUAAUACAGUUUGCUAAUGACGGUACCGUAAGAAUAAGCACCGGCUAACUACGUGCCAGCCGCCGCUGUAA
Molecule: ribosomal RNA, 493 nt
Filed under: uncultured bacterium
Lineage: Bacteria
Description: partial 16S ribosomal RNA
Rfam family: Bacterial small subunit ribosomal RNA
Source: RNAcentral